RNAcentral lists this ribosomal RNA (252 nucleotides) under Streptomyces sp. UMAF16. Its description in RNAcentral is "partial 23S ribosomal RNA". It matches the Rfam family "Bacterial large subunit ribosomal RNA", at positions 2176 to 2427 of the family's 2925-position model. Lineage: Bacteria; Bacillati; Actinomycetota; Actinomycetes; Kitasatosporales; Streptomycetaceae. The record is from RNAcentral.
UUGUGUGGAGCCGACGUUGAAAUACCACCCUGGUGUGUUUGAGGUUCUAACCUUGGCCCGUUAUCCGGGUUGGGGACAGUGUAUGGUGGGCAGUUUGACUGGGGCGGUCUCCUCCCAAAUUGUAACGGAGGAGUACGAAGGUAUCCUAGGUACGGUCGGACAUCGUACUGAUAGUGCAAUGGCAAAAGGAUGCUUAACUGCGAGACUGACAAGUCGAGCAGAUACGAAAGUAGGUCAUAGUGAUCCGGUGGU